UUCCUGAUUUUCCCAUCGUUCGGGGCAUUCUGGGGCUGUUUUGGCUAUUGGUUGCUUGUUUGGUCUUGAGCUGAACGGGUGGCUUCUAGUCCGGUGGCUUCGGGGAUGUUUGUCGUAAAGGUGCAUGAGUGGUGUUUGGUUUGUUACGUGUGGUGGCUGCGGCGUUUGCAACAACUUCCAUGCUUUCAGACCUCUUCAGUUGUGCGGCAAGGCUUGUAUCGCCUUGAGCGUGCUGUGGGUUUUCUGUGUUGGCUACCUAAUCAAUGGUAUCGGUUGGAUUGAUCAAAGUUUGAUUUCGUCUUUUGUCGCAUUCGCGGCGUGAGGUGAACCUCGAUGCGGUCUCUUUGAUCCACCUCGUUGAAGCACAUGCCUUGACGUUGUGGCACAUUGAGCAUUGCUUGGUCUCUUGUAUACGGAACAUAUAGUGGGCAUGGAUCUAACGAUUCUCGUUUGCCCUCAUAUUAGCGUAACGCUUCUCUAACACGACUUGCACCACGUUUUAG
Molecule: unclassified non-coding RNA, 503 nt
Filed under: Artemisia arborescens
Lineage: Eukaryota; Viridiplantae; Streptophyta; Magnoliopsida; Asterales; Asteraceae
Description: external transcribed spacer
Source: RNAcentral